This 192-nucleotide ribosomal RNA is filed under the name Listeria monocytogenes. RNAcentral's name for it is "partial 16S ribosomal RNA". It matches the Rfam family "Bacterial small subunit ribosomal RNA", at positions 1 to 184 of the family's 1533-position model. Lineage: Bacteria; Bacillati; Bacillota; Bacilli; Caryophanales; Listeriaceae. The record is from RNAcentral.
UAUUUUAAAGAGAGUUUGAUCCUGGCUCAGGACGAACGCUGGCGGCGUGCCUAAUACAUGCAAGUCGAACGAACGGAGGAAGAGCUUGCUCUUCCAAAGUUAGUGGCGGACGGGUGAGUAACACGUGGGCAACCUGCCUGUAAGUUGGGGAUAACUCCGGGAAACCGGGGCUAAUACCGAAUGAUAAAGUGU